Molecule: transfer RNA, 76 nt
Filed under: Chloroflexota bacterium
Lineage: Bacteria; Bacillati; Chloroflexota
Description: Chloroflexi bacterium (sediment metagenome) tRNA-Arg
Rfam family: tRNA
About the family: Transfer RNA (tRNA) molecules are approximately 80 nucleotides in length. Their secondary structure includes four short double-helical elements and three loops (D, anti-codon, and T loops).
Source: RNAcentral
GCCCCCGUAGCUCAGAGGAUAGAGCGAGGGUUUCCUAAACCCUGCGUCGGCGGUUCAAAUCCGUCCGGGGGUACCU